UUUCUAUGUUUUUAUACUUAAAUUGAAUCCCCAUUAUUUGAUGCACAUCAUUUCAGCAAAAAAAAACAUGGAGAUUGUGUGAGUGACCCGUAACCCAAAAUACAGUCCAUUAUUAAAAUAGGGUGUUUUUUUUUUUUUUUAACCCCUUUUUUAUUUUUUACUUUUAAUCGAGAUUCGGUCAUGACAACCUUUUGCGCUAUUAUUAAUUGUUGUUUUGCAAACGUGAUAGAAUGUCAUACAUAUGCGUAGAUGUUAACUUUUGUGUUUUUACAACCUAUUAAGGUCAACUUAGCGAUAGGAAUGAACCCUCUCCCGCUUCUUCUGCAUGUUUUACAUGAAUGUUCUCCCAAACAAAUGACGCUCUCAAUGUUUUUUAAGUUUUUCUUCGGCAUAAGGAAAAUGUGAUUUUUGCAUGCUAUCGUGAAAACAGUGCUGUAUCCUUUGUGUCAGUCCAAACUGUAAACAUGGAGUACGUUGUCAGAACUGAGGAAUAAGGGAAAUAGCAAAAACAAAAUGUCUAACAUGAAACUGUACCAUGCUAUGCAAACUUCACGUUUACCAGCAACUAUCCGACAAGAUUGGUUUGCUUUUUUUGUGCCUUUCAAAGAUCUAUGCAGCGGAGAUGAACAUCCAUGGCUUUACAUAGCUACCAGGAAGCCUGGCUGUGCAUUUUUCAUCAAAUAUACGAGAAAUGUGCUUAGGUAACCAAGGCAGAGUUCAGGUAGUUGCAUUACAGACUUACUGUCAUAGGAAUACAGUUAACAUCUAUACUGUAGGUUUACCUAUCUGUUAUUUUGUUUGUUUGUUUGUUUUAGUUUUAUGCUAUCAGCUUAUUUAGUUUUUCCUGAUGGUGACGCAAUGUAAUUUCUGCUUGGCACACAUGAAUAUAAAUGCCAUGAAAUAAGUAGGCAUAGUCACGGUCCCUCCAGUGUAAAUUAUAACCCCUGAGGGUUUUGCUGGCUGAGUCUCUGUGUCCUGAUGGAGGGUCAAUGUGUUACAUCUGUUGGAAUACAGAUAAGACGUGGGGGUUUUGUAUGGGUUUUUUUUUUUUCUUCUUGUAACUGCGUCAGGUUGCAAUGGCCGAUUCUGCACUGUGGACAGACUGUAAAGCCACUGGCUGGCUUGCUUUAAAUUUUACUCUUUUCCUUUUCUUUUUUUGUUGUUUUGGCUUCGUUUCUGUUUUUUGUUUGUGUUUAGGUAUAGUCACAUGUUUUCAGCUAGAUUUUAUGAAUGCCAAAGUUCUAUUUAUAUACAAAUUUCAUAGAGUAUUAACAAAUAUUUUUCCAUUUUGUAAGACAGGAUUUUUCUUUGGCUCUUUAAUUUGUACAGAUGGAAAAUAAAAUAUUUUUCUAAAAAAUA
This is a long non-coding RNA of Engraulis encrasicolus (European anchovy), 1359 nucleotides long. RefSeq lists it as uncharacterized. The transcript has 2 exons. Lineage: Eukaryota; Metazoa; Chordata; Actinopteri; Clupeiformes; Engraulidae. The record is from RefSeq and is a predicted model, not a curated record.